AACGGAGGAGCACGAAGGUUAGCUAAUCCUGGUCGGACAUCAGGAGGUUAGUGCAAUGGCAUAAGCUAGCUUGACUGCGAGCGUGACGGCGCGAGCAGGUGCGAAAGCAGGUCAUAGUGAUCCGGGGGUUCUGAAUGGAAGGGCCAUCGCUCAACGGAUAAAAGGUACUCCGGGGAUAACAGGCUGAUACCGCCCAAGAGUUCAUAUCGACGGCGGUGUUUGGCACCUCGAUGUCGGCUCAUCACAUCCUGGGGCUGAAGUAGGUCCCAAGGGUAUGGCUGUUCGCCAUUUAAAGUGGUACGCGAGCUGGGUUUAGAACGUCGUGAGACAGUUCGGUCCCUAUCUGCCGUGGGCGCUGGAGAAUUGAGGGGGGCUGCUCCUAGUACGAGAGGACCGGAGUGGACGCAUCACUGGUGUUCGGGUUGUCAUGCCAAUGG
RNAcentral lists this ribosomal RNA (437 nucleotides) under Klebsiella pneumoniae. RNAcentral describes it as "partial 23S ribosomal RNA". It matches the Rfam family "Bacterial large subunit ribosomal RNA", at positions 2299 to 2735 of the family's 2925-position model. Lineage: Bacteria; Pseudomonadati; Pseudomonadota; Gammaproteobacteria; Enterobacterales; Enterobacteriaceae. The record is from RNAcentral.